UAUAAAAUAAAAUAUAAUUGUUGUUUGGGAAAUUUAUUUUAUGAUUGUGAUAUAAAUAAAUAUUUUUAUUAAGGAUUAUUUAAAUAAUAUUUUUAUUUUUAAUAUUUAUAAUAAUUAAUAUAUAUUAAUGUAUACUAUAGUAAAUUAUAAUAAAUAAUAAUAAAAUUAGUGCCAGCAAUUGCGGUUAGACUAUUGUUAUAAAUAAAUUUAGAAGGUUAAUUAAGAUAAAUAAAAGUUAUUAGAGUAAUUUAUAAUAUAAUUGGCAUUAAUAAGAUAUUAUAUGGUGAAAUAUUUAAUGUUUUAGAUUAGUUUAUUAGUAAGCUUUAUUUUAUAUUAAGAAGUUAUUAGUUUAAACUAGGAUUUGGUACCCUAUUAUUGUAAUAAAGAGUAAAAAAGAUUUAAUUUCAAGAGUAAAUGUUUAAUCAUUAAAUUUAAAUAAUUUGGCGGUAUUUUAAGUCGUUAGAGGAACUUGUUAAGUAAAUGAUAGUCCACGAUAGGAAAGUCUUAUAAUUUUAAUUUUAUGUAUUGUUGUUUAAAGAUUACUUUAAAAGAAGAAAAUUAGUAAGUUUAUUUUAAAAGAAGGAUAAUAAUUCAAAUCAAAAUGUAGUUUUUAUAAGAUUAAAUGAGUUACAAUUAAUAAUAUUAUUGGAUUGAUAAUUUUAAUGAUUAUUUUGAAAUAGGAUUUAAUAGUAAAUUUAUAUAAUUAUAUAAAUUGAAAUUUUAAUAAAAUGUGUACAAAUUGCCCGUCAUUUUCAUGAAUAUAUAAGUGAAAAAAGUCGUAACAAAGUAAAUGUACAGGAAUGUGUAUUUAGAUUUAAAUAAGAUUAUUUAUUAGAAGGA
Molecule: non-coding RNA, 840 nt
Filed under: Aphaenogaster famelica
Lineage: Eukaryota; Metazoa; Arthropoda; Insecta; Hymenoptera; Formicidae
Source: RNAcentral